GACGAACGCUGGCGGCGCGCCUAACACAUGCAGGUCGAACGAGCGAGAGAGAGCUUGCUUUCUCGAGCGAGUGGCGAACGGGUGAGUAACGCGUGAGGAACCUGCCUCAAAGAGGGGGACAACAGUUGGAAACGACUGCUAAUACCGCAUAAGCCCACGGUGCCGCAUGGCACAGAGGGAAAAGGAGCAAUCCGCUUUGAGAUGGCCUCGCGUCCGAUUAGCUAGUUGGUGAGGUAAUGGCCCACCAAGGCGACGAUCGGUAGCCGGACUGAGAGGUUGAACGGCCACAUUGGGACUGAGACACGGCCCAGACUCCUACGGGAGGCAGCAGUGGGGAAUAUUGCACAAUGGGGGAAACCCUGAUGCAGCGACGCCGCGUGGAGGAAGAAGGUCUUCGGAUUGUAAACUCCUGUUGUUGGGGAAGAUAAUGACGGUACCCAACAAGGAAGUGACGGCUAACUACGU
Molecule: ribosomal RNA, 465 nt
Filed under: uncultured bacterium
Lineage: Bacteria
Description: partial 16S ribosomal RNA
Rfam family: Bacterial small subunit ribosomal RNA
Source: RNAcentral